CCCGCCAGCAACCCCCCCCA
This 20-nucleotide ribosomal RNA is filed under the name Ascocoryne sp. B5/2/1/2/A2. Its description in RNAcentral is "partial 28S ribosomal RNA". Lineage: Eukaryota; Fungi; Ascomycota; Leotiomycetes; Helotiales; Gelatinodiscaceae. The record is from RNAcentral.